GACGAACGCUGGCGGCGUGCUUAACACAUGCAAGUCGAACGGAAAGGCCCUGCUUUUGUGGGGUGCUCGAGUGGCGAACGGGUGAGUAACACGUGAGUAACCUGCCCUUGACUUUGGGAUAACUUCAGGAAACUGGGGCUAAUACCGGAUAGGAGCUCCUGUUGCAUGGUGGGGGUUGGAACGUUUCGGCGGGUGGGGAUGGACUCGCGGCUUAUCAGCUUGUUGGUGGGGUAGUGGCUUACCAAGGCUUUGACGGGUAGCCGGCCUGAGAGGGUGACCGGCCACAUUGGGACUGAGAUACGGCCCAGACUCCUACGGGAGGCAGCAGUGGGGAAUAUUGCACAAUGGGCGGAAGCCUGAUGCAGCAACGCCGCGUGCGGGAUGACGGCCUUCGGGUUGUAAACCGCUUUCGCCUGUGACGAAGCGUGAGUGACGGUAAUGGGUAAAGAAGCACCGGCUAACUACGUG
Molecule: ribosomal RNA, 468 nt
Filed under: uncultured bacterium
Lineage: Bacteria
Description: partial 16S ribosomal RNA
Rfam family: Bacterial small subunit ribosomal RNA
Source: RNAcentral